RNAcentral lists this long non-coding RNA (738 nucleotides) under Mus spicilegus (steppe mouse). RNAcentral describes it as "lncRNA (ENSMSIG00000008001.1)". The record is from RNAcentral. Lineage: Eukaryota; Metazoa; Chordata; Mammalia; Rodentia; Muridae.
GGUUGCUUGGCAACCAGAGGGUGACAGUUUGAGGAGCUCAGGGAGCUUUGACAAUGUGACUUCAAGAUAGGUGAAGGACAGUAGGAGGCACUGAGUCUGCUGAAAGGAAUCGCAACAUGGAAGCAUCAUUUAAAUAAAGAUUCAUCUCUCUGUGUGAUGAUUCUAAGGAGAUUAUUCAGGAGUGUACAAGACACACACUUAGAUAUUGGAGAAUAUUGGGUAUGCUUCCACUGAAGACAGUUGACUCCUGCCCUGGAGAUAAAUUUGUGAGGUUCUUUGUAAAGACACCAAAGGUUGAACUGUAAAACCACAGGCUUUACAAAGGGGGUGGGGAGAUUAUCACACAGAAUUAUUUUAUGGAGCUGAUGUAUUUUCAUAAAACUUUAGAAAGAGAGGAAAGGCAGAGGCCAGGGACGCAACUGGAAGAAGCAGCAGAGAUCAAAGUAUUGGGGAGGAGCUGACACGUUAUCUUUCCUUGAAUGAGAAAACUGAAGUCUUGUCUGCCUAUUGUGUUGGGUAGCCUCUAAGGGACACACAAUGAUUCCUUGUGUCCUAGAUUGGAUGGGUAGAUGUCAAUGUCAAGUGACCAGAGAAAUCCCACGAGCAAAUUUAAAGAAAUGCCAUCAUCCAGACACAAUUAUUAUAUUUAAAGCAUAGUGAAGCAAGACGUGACUAUGGCUUCCUGUAUGGGCCUGAAAAAGUGUUCCUGUUAGAAGGUUGAGAGUGAAGCUGAGAGUA